Molecule: long non-coding RNA, 1080 nt
Organism: Frankliniella occidentalis (western flower thrips)
Lineage: Eukaryota; Metazoa; Arthropoda; Insecta; Thysanoptera; Thripidae
Exons: 3
Source: RefSeq, a predicted model, not a curated record
UAUUUUCUUUGAAAUUUAUAAAAAAUAAAGAUUCCAAUUUCAACGUGUUCAUCUUUAAUAACAUUAAAAAUCGCAGACACUAAACAUUGACAAGUAUCAUGCAUUCUUCAUUUUUCAGGGUGGAGCCAAAUCCCUCCCUGAAAAUCUUGGUCAUGCUUUGUCUCUAAGUGAUGAGGACUCGGAUGAUGAAGCACGAUCAGUUGUCACUUUUAAAUUAAAAGAUUACUUGGAUAAACGGACAACUCAGAAAUUUGUUAAUGGCAUCAACCGAAUGUGUAUUCUGGGGUAUUUUAGGUGUCUGGAACCAGAGCCUAGAAGCAUUAAGAAAAAAUGUCUCCCCAAGUUGCAGGGUCCGGAGCAAGACAUGGUUGAUGCCUUCAACAAAAUACUAAGUUCACUGCCAGACCACAUUUCCCAAAAAAUUAAUGAGUUACAUGAGGAAGCAAAACGUUUCUUCGAAGACUAUUAGGGCCAUUUCUUUGGCUCCUGAUCUUCCUACCCUCAUUACAUACUGCUCAUUGAUCUGUUCAGAAUCACUAUUCAUCCCAGUGCUCUUCCAGUUCAUAUUUUUAUCUGUGAAGGGAUACCAUAUGUAACCUGUUCAUGCUGUUGUUGUUUUUAAGUGUAACACUGCUAGUUUUAUGUACUUCUUUUUCAAAAAUUUAUCUAUUUUGUUCAGACUGUCUCCCUCUUAUGCCAGUCACUUUUGUACUAAUUUUUUACAUGUCGGAGCUUGCCUACCAGCUCUAGGAAAUGCAUUCCCUUUUGAUAAUAUCCUCAAGUCUAUACGCUACAAGCUGUUUGUUAUGUUUUUUCCCAUUUUGGAGGUGUCACCUUUGCAUGUGUACCUCCCUAAAGAAAGUUAACAGGAUCAAAUUAAAUGUUGGAUAUUUUUCCAACCCUCUGCCUGCCUUUGCAUUCUGCUGGUAACUCUUACUCAUUCAUUGUGUAUUUUUCUAAUUGAAAGAAACCCUCUCUUGUUGGGUUGUUAAGGUGUACAUACCACACCAGUUCUUCUCACUGUUGUAGCUAGUACUUGAAUACUUGCAUUUAGGGUAAUAAAUGCUUUGAUGUGCCAGA